UUUGAGCCAGUGGGAUUUGAGGACUCAGUAAAGAUAAUUCUAGCCCUAUUUGACCUAUCUGGUGUCCUGUUCUCAGUGAAGUACAAAGCUGCAAAGCCUCCAUCUGUGCAGAGAGAUGAGAAUGUGUAUUAGCACAGGGUGGGGUGGAAAAAAAAUUGGGUUUAGAAAGUUCAGGAUGGGCAUGUCCAGGGGAAAAUGAAGAGGCUUAUCAAUUGGCUUUAUAUGAAUUAACCAGUGGGACUCCUACCAGUCCUGCAGGAAUGUCCCCGAAGAUUCGAGGAAGCACUUUCCCAGCUUCCAGGUCUGCUCGGGCUUUAGGACGGUCUGCUUUCGCACAGGAUUCUGGGGAAUCCUUGGAGUUCUUGGCCUGCUCUUCUGCAAUCCUGUGCUCAAUGCCCAACAGGGAUUCGAGAGUGAACAGGCGCAAGCCAUCAGAACCCGCUGGUAGCAAGAGACAAUGGAAGGUAGUAAAGACUUCACUCAGAGACCAGGAACAACAACCAAUAUCCAGACGUCUCCCAGACAGUAGGACAGAUGAGCACCUUGGUUAAGAGAUUAAGGACUGCAGCCGUGUCUGCGUUACAGUUUAAAACCAAGCUGGUUUUUAAUGUGAAACCUGUGGAUAAAGUGCUUUCUGUCCUGUG
Long non-coding RNA from Hemibagrus wyckioides, 644 nucleotides. RefSeq lists it as uncharacterized. The transcript is spliced from 3 exons. NCBI's taxonomy places the organism in Eukaryota, Metazoa, Chordata, Actinopteri, Siluriformes, Bagridae. The record is from RefSeq and is a predicted model, not a curated record.